This 301-nucleotide ribosomal RNA is filed under the name Stasimopus sp. 31STAS01. RNAcentral's name for it is "partial large subunit ribosomal RNA". It matches the Rfam family "Bacterial large subunit ribosomal RNA", at positions 1896 to 2480 of the family's 2925-position model. RNAcentral also lists the same sequence under 1 other name. Lineage: Eukaryota; Metazoa; Arthropoda; Arachnida; Araneae; Ctenizidae. The record is from RNAcentral.
UAAUUAGUACCCCCUGCUCAAUGAACUUUAAAUAGCCGCAAAUUUAUGUGCUAAGGUAGCAUAAUCAUUUGCCUUUUAAUUUAAGGCUAGAAUGAAAGGACUAACGUGUUGGAUUCUUUAUUAUCAAAACUACUUAAAAUUUUCAUUUAAGUAAAAAGACUUAAAUUAUAAGAGAAGACGACAAGACCCCAUCGAACUUAAAAUAAUUUUUUAACUGGGGCGGUAUAAAACCAAAUCUUUUUCCAUCUCAGACAUUUCUAUCACUAAAAAGUAUUUAAACAAGUUACCGUGGGGAUAACAG